ACAAGUGUAGCCAGUAGACUAAGAAAGAGGAAGAGUAUGGCUGAGAUAAGGACAGGUAGGAAAGAGAAAAGGGUUGCUGGUAUAGGUCCCUCCAAAUCUUGGAGUAAAGUAGAGGUCAGGAAGAAGAAAGACAGUGAAAUUUCUGAAUCUAAUGAGAAUGUUGAAGAUGAUGUUCCAGACAUCUCCUCUGACAAAAGAAAGGUUGUAAAGAAGUCUUCCAACAAAGUAGCUUCUAAGCACCUAGACAAAUGGAGGUUU
RNAcentral lists this long non-coding RNA (258 nucleotides) under Lathyrus oleraceus (garden pea). RNAcentral's name for it is "Pisum sativum (pea) long non-coding RNA (PSAT_LNC013119)". Lineage: Eukaryota; Viridiplantae; Streptophyta; Magnoliopsida; Fabales; Fabaceae. The record is from RNAcentral.